Molecule: non-coding RNA, 145 nt
Organism: Gossypium hirsutum (cotton)
Lineage: Eukaryota; Viridiplantae; Streptophyta; Magnoliopsida; Malvales; Malvaceae
Source: Rfam
AGUUAAAAGUUUUAUCAAUUUGUAUUGUUAAAAACUAGUGUGGUUGAUGGAAUAAUCAAAUAGUGACAUGUGACAUGCCACAUUAAUCUCAUAUUGACGUAUAUGGACUAAUUUUUAACAAUAGAAAUGGAUUAAAGUUUUAACA